Molecule: non-coding RNA, 960 nt
Filed under: Macaca mulatta (Rhesus monkey)
Lineage: Eukaryota; Metazoa; Chordata; Mammalia; Primates; Cercopithecidae
Source: Rfam by way of RNAcentral
AAACAUAGAAGUUUGGUCCUAGCCUUUUUAUGAGUUCUCAGUAAAAUUACACAUGCAAGCAUCCCCGCCCCAGUAAGAAUGCCCUCCAGAUCACCUGGGUCAAAAGGAGCAGGUAUCAAGCACGUAUAAACACAGCUCAAAACACUUUGCUCAACCACACCCCCACGGGAAACAGCAGUGAUACAUUUUAAGCAAUAAGUGAAAGUAUUACUAAACUAUACUAAUAUUUAGGGCUGGUAAAUUUUGUGCCAGCCACCGCAGCCACACAAUUAACCCAAGCUAGUAAAACUCGGCAUAAAGGGUGUUUCAGGUCUGCACUCAAUAAAGUUAAGCUCCAGCUAAAUCGCAAAAAAAACUCCAGCUGAAAUAAAAUAUACCACGGAAGUUACUUUAAUGUCCUGAGGACACAACAGCUAAGGCACAAACUGAGAUUAGAAACCCCACUCUGCUUAGCCCCAAACCCAAAUGGUUAUAUUAACAAGACUCUUCGCCAGAGUACAUGCAGCAGCUUAAAACUCAAAGGACUUGGCAGUGCUUUAUAUCCUUCUAGAGGAGCCUGUUCUAUAAUCGAUAAACCCCAAUACACCUCACCAUCUCUUGUCACUCAGCCUAUAUACCACCAUCUUCAGCAAAAAAAAAAGCAUAAAGUAAGCACAAGUGUGCACAUUAAAACAUUAGGUCAAGUUGUAGCCCAUGGGAUGAUAAGAAAUGGGCUACAUUUUCUACAUCCAGAAAAAUCUUAUGAUAACCUUCAUGAAAUCUGAAGGUUCAAGGAAGAUUUAGUAGUAAAUCAAGAAUAGAAUGAUUGAAUGAGGCCAUAAGGCACGCACACAAUGCCCGUCACCCUCCUCAAGUAGUACUCUAGAAAUCACUAUUACUAAUAAUUGUCUACACACGUAUAGAAGAGAUAAGUCAUAACAUGGUAAGUGUACUGGAAAGUGCGCCUGGAUCAACCAAAAU